ACUCAAAGGAAUUGACGGGGGCCCGCACAAGCGGUGGAGCAUGUGGUUUAAUUCGACGCAACGCGCAGAACCUUACCCGGGCUAGAAAAACUAGGAACUUGGUGGAAACACCGGGGUGCUCGCAAGAGAACCUAGGUCCAGGUGCUGCAUGGCUGUCGUCAGCUCGUGUCGUGAGAUGUUGGGUUAAGUCCCGCAACGAGCGCAACCCUUGUCCUUAGUUGCCAUCAGUUCGGCUGGGCACUCUAAGGAGACUGCCGGGGUCAACCCGGAGGAAGGUGGGGAUGACGUCAAGUCCUCAUGGCCCUUAUGUCCGGGGCUACACACGUGCUACAAUGGCCGGUACAAAGCGCUGCAAACCCGCGAGGGGGAGCUAAUCGCAAAAAGCCGGCCUCAGUACGGAUUGCAGUCUGCAACUCGACUGCAUGAAGCCGGAAUCGCUAGUAAUCCCUGAUCAGCAGGCAGGGGUGAAUACGUUCCCGGGCCUUGUACACACCGCCCGU
RNAcentral lists this ribosomal RNA (500 nucleotides) under uncultured bacterium. RNAcentral's name for it is "partial 16S ribosomal RNA". It matches the Rfam family "Bacterial small subunit ribosomal RNA", at positions 899 to 1397 of the family's 1533-position model. The record is from RNAcentral.